Molecule: long non-coding RNA, 2987 nt
Organism: Chinchilla lanigera (long-tailed chinchilla)
Lineage: Eukaryota; Metazoa; Chordata; Mammalia; Rodentia; Chinchillidae
Source: Ensembl
AUGAGGGCGGAGGGUGCCGUCCUGUGUGCUGGAGGGCCUUCCGUGGCAUCCACCCGAGGCCAGGAGCAACCCUCCUUCCCUGAAGUCUUGACAACCCAAAAUGUUUCCGGGCAUUGCCAGAUGUCCCCUGGGGGCAAGACCACUGCCAGGCUGCGCAUCUCCAGGCAGGGACACGGAGCCAUGACUACAGCAGACGUCAGCUUAGAUCUUCACGCCAGCAGCUCUGGAUUGAGGAUUACCGUUAAACUGAGCUGGAACAGCCCAUGGGAAGACGGAAGAUCUGAAGCAAGACCUGUGAGGUGAAACUGUGUAUGUGUACCAUCUAAUAUGGCAAAUGUGACCACAUGGCUGUUGAGUAUUUGAAAUGUGGCUAGAUAAUGUGCCUGGGGAACUGAAUUUUUAAUUUUAAUUAACUGAAAUUCAAAUUUAAAGCCAGGUGUGGUGGCACAUCCCUGUAUACCAGUACUCCGAAGGUUGGGUCAGAAGGAUUGUUUUGAGCUCAAGGUCAACCUGGAAUACAUAGGGAGUUCAAGACCAGCUUGAACUACAUAGCAAGACCCUGUCUCAAAACAAAAAACAAAACAAAAAGAAAGAAAUUCAAAUUGAAAUAAGCAACCCAAACAAUUAUAGCCAAUUGACUUUAAUCAUGGUUCUUGAAAUAGUAUAUAGACAGAAUCAUUUUUUCAAUAAAUGAUGUUGGGACCAGUGGAUUUCCAUUAAAAGAAAAAAAAAAAACAAACGAGGCCAGGUGUGGUGGUGCACAUCUGUAAUCCCAGCACUCAGAAGGCUGAGGCAGGAGGAUUGCCCCGAGUUCAAGGCUAGCCUGAACUGCAUAGUGAAACCCUGUCUCAAAAAAACACCAAAAAAAAAAAAGAAAGAAAAAAAGAAGUUGGAUCUUGCUAUGGUCUAAAUAUUUGUGUCUCCCUGCAACUUUACAAGCUGACAAUCCCCAGUGAAGUUGUAUUAGGAAAUGGGGUAUCUGGGAGAUGAUUAGGUCAUGAGGAUGGACCUCCUCAUAAAUAGGAUUAAUGCACUCAUUAAAAAAAAUGCCAGAGAGAACUUGUUUACCCCUUUCGUUUUUCAUUUAUAUGAGGACAUAGUAGGUGUCAUGUAUGAUGACACCCCCCCAUACACCACACACACACACACUAUAUCUGUUGUUGCUUUGAUCUUUAAUGUUGGAUUUCUCAGCCUCUGGAAGGGUGAGAAACAAAUGCCUGUUGUUUAUAAAUAAAUUACCCAAUCUAGCUGGAAGUGGUAAGCACUCCUGCAAUGCCAGCACUCAGGAGGCUGAGGCAGGAGGAUCACCACAAGUCCAAGGCCAGCCUGGGCUACACAGUGAGUUCAAGGCCAGCCUGAGCUACACAAUGAGACCCUGUCUCAAAACAAAACAAAACAAAACAGAAAAAGAAAAGGAAAAAGAAAAAGAAACAAAUGUACAGUGUAAGGGGCUGUUAUAGUAGCUUGGAUGGUCUCAGACAGACCUCUACUUCACAGCACUUAUGAAAAUUAACCCAAAAUGGACCAAAGAUAAAAAUAUGAGAUAAAUCUCUCUUUGAAAAAAAUUCUGUAAAUCUUUGCAGCCUUGAGUUAGGCAAUGAUAUUUUAGAUAUGACUAAAGCACGUAAAAAGCACAAGCAAAGAAAAAAUAAAUUAGAAUAUAUCAAGAUUAAAAACAUUUGCAAGCCAGGGAUGGUGGUGAAUGCCUGUAAUUCCAGCACUCAGGAGGCUGAGGCAGGAGGAUCGUUGCAAGUUCAUGACCAGCCUAGGCUACAAAGUGAGGCCAGCUUAAACUGCAUAGCAAGACCCUGUCUCAAAAAGACAUACAUACAUACAUACAUAAAUAAAUAAAUAAAAAACAUUUGGCCUUCAGAAGAUACCAAUAAGAAACUGAAAGGACAACAAAUAGAAUGGGAGAAAAUAUUUGCAAAUUACACAUAAAGUCUGAUAUUCAGAAUACAUAAAGAAUUCUUAAAACUCAACAGUAAAAAGACAAAAAACCCACCCAAUUUAAAAAUGGGCAAAGGAUCUGAAUGCUAUUUCUUCAAACAAGAUAUUCAACUGACUAAUAAAUACAUGAAAGACGCUCUCAACAUCAUUACUACUUAGGGGAAAUGCAAAUCAAAACUAAAGGGAAAUAUCUGGAUGUAGUAUGUAUACACACAAUGGAGCACUUCUCAGUCAUAAAGACAAAUAAGUUUGAUCCAUUUGUAGGAAAAUGGGUCUAUCUGGAGACGAUAAUGCUGAGUGAAGUAAGUCAGAUGUAGAAAGUGGAAUAUUGCAUGGUUCCUCUCAUCUGCAAAACUCAAAGUACAAAUAAUUUAAAGAGCAAAAUAAAAGAAAGAUCAUAGAAAACAGAGAGGGAGACCUUUUGGAGAAAGGAAAGGAGGGGCUGGGGAUUUAGCUCAGUGGCACAGCACCUGCCUGGCAAGCACAAGGUCGUGAAUUUGAUUCCCAGUACUGGAAAAAAAAAGAACCAAAAAAAAAAGAAAGGAAAGGAUUUAAGUAUGGAGGAAGAGGGAAGGGAGGAUAGGGGAACAAGAAAUAAAAAGGGUUAAGAUGUAAUAUGUGUAUGUACCAACUCCCCAUGAUGAAUGCAUUCAUUGUCUGUCAUGAAUAUGUACUAAUAAAACACACACACAAUAAUUUUUUUUAAAAAAAAUUCCCAAGGGGAUACCACAUCACACCCAGCAGAAUGGCUGUAAUAAAAGACUUAAACAGCUGCUGUAAGGAAUGGGAAGGAAUUAGAGCCCUCAUACUCUGUCAGUGGGAAUGUAAAAUGGUACAGCUGGAAAAUGGUCUAGUCAAACAUAGAGUUUAGCAAUUCCACUCCUAGCAUACACCCAAGAGAAAUGAAAACAUAUGUGCACACAACACUUGUAUGCAAAUGCUGACAGUGACAUUACUGAUAACAGGCAAAAGAAGAAACAAAACUCCACCAAUUGAUAAGUAAAUAAACAAGGUAUGGUCUAUUGGUGCAAUGCAUU